UUUAUAACAAGAGAUCCCAGCAGCUAAAAGAAGCCAGUCACUGGGAUUACUCAUAACUUGCCUUGUGAACUGCUCAAGGGAAUUUCUUGAAGAACUGUGUCAAAAUCAGCUUUGGAAACCAUUAAUUUGAGAGCUUUCCUUGACACAUAAAUUCUGAGAUUACUGUUGGUCAAGUUGGCGGGCUUGGAAAGAAGAUUCUUUUUGUUGGUACUGAGAGAAAAUUUUGUCAUUUUGUGCAAGGAAACGAGGAUAAAAUAGGCUUUUUUCCUCUCUGCAAGAAGAAAUCUGACGCAGUGGGAACUCAAUCACCCAGACACCAUGAAUGCUUGCAGAAGGAUACAUUCUCUCCGUGCUCACAGACAGAAAACUAAUGGAAACAGAAGUGAGAACUGGCACAGCACCUCUGGGUUCAAGCACCAGCAUGGAGAUGAUCUUGUUACAGUCCACACCCUUUACACAGUGAUCAUCAUGAUCCUCCUAGGGGCACUCUGGGGAGCCUGGUCGAGAAAGGAUUCAUCCUUAUAGCAGCUAUAUAGGAACUUUCUUUGUCAAAUAUUAAAAGAAGUAUUUGUGUCAAUUAUCCAUGCUCAAGAGGUACAAAAAAUGGUCUCAACCUAUUUCAGUUUACUUGAAACUGCUUAAAUGCUUGCUGCUUGUGGAAGUGAAACUAUGAAGCAAUUUAACAAGCCAUGUACAGAACAUCAUUUUGUGAGUAACGGAGACUCUUUGACCUGUACACAUUUGUAUUACCCUCAGCAUGUACAUGAAACUUUAAGCACGGUAUUCUAGAAAGAGGAGUUCAUCUUCUGUUUUAUUGGUCAAUAUUUUGUAUGUCCACCCCAGCUUUCCAUUUGUGAACUUGCUGAGUCUCUACCUCUGCUAAGUUUGCCUGUUCCAAUCCAUGGUAAAACACACACUGUAAGCAGGGAAAUAAUCUGCUGUGUCACAACAACAUAGGAAAAAAUAAUCAACAAACCCAGCUAUUCUGCUAGCAAAGGAAGAUCACUGAAAAAGUCAAAUUCUUAUCUCCAUUGCUGAAGAGAGUUUAUAUGGGACUUGCAUCCAUUAUCUUUAAUUUAUGGUAAUGACUUUGUAAACUCAGGAAUAAAAUUAUGGAAUAAGCUGCUUUUGUGAAUCCUUUGUCACAGAACCAGCUGGCUCAGUCUUCA
Long non-coding RNA from Motacilla alba alba, 1169 nucleotides. RefSeq lists it as uncharacterized. The transcript is spliced from 2 exons. The record is from RefSeq and is a predicted model, not a curated record. Lineage: Eukaryota; Metazoa; Chordata; Aves; Passeriformes; Motacillidae.